RNAcentral lists this ribosomal RNA (319 nucleotides) under uncultured fungus. RNAcentral describes it as "eukaryotic LSU rRNA". The stretch from base 1 to 71 matches the Rfam family "5.8S ribosomal RNA", at positions 84 to 154 of the family's 154-position model. Lineage: Eukaryota; Fungi. The record is from RNAcentral.
GUGAGUCAUCGAAUCUUUGAACGCACAUUGCGCUCCCUGGUAUUCCGGAGAGCAUGCCUGUUUGAGCGUCAGUAAACUCUUCAAACCCCGUAUGGGGUUUGGUCUUGGACCGUUGCGUCAGGCCUUAUGUGCCCGAUGCUGGCCUAAAAUGCAUUGGCCGGGCCGCAACCCCUGGGCCUUAGCGUAAUAAGUUGAAUACUCAACGACUUCGCUAGGAACGUCCGCGGGAAGGCCCUGCCUUAAGCACCCACUAUUUUAAAUUUUGACCUCAGAUCAGGCAGGGAUACCCGCUGAACUUAAGCAUAUCAAUAAGCGGAGG